CGGGGCGUGGCGCAGUCCGGCAGCGCGCGUGAAUGGGGUUCACGAGGUCCCGGGUUCAAAUCCCGGCGCCCCGA
This 74-nucleotide transfer RNA is filed under the name Candidatus Palauibacterales bacterium. Its description in RNAcentral is "tRNA-Pro". It matches the Rfam family "tRNA". From Rfam's summary of the family: Transfer RNA (tRNA) molecules are approximately 80 nucleotides in length. Their secondary structure includes four short double-helical elements and three loops (D, anti-codon, and T loops). The record is from RNAcentral. Lineage: Bacteria; Pseudomonadati; Gemmatimonadota; Gemmatimonadia; Candidatus Palauibacterales.